Molecule: ribosomal RNA, 253 nt
Filed under: uncultured prokaryote
Description: partial 16S ribosomal RNA
Rfam family: Bacterial small subunit ribosomal RNA
Source: RNAcentral
UACGGAGGGUGCAAGCGUUAUCCGGAUUUACUGGGUUUAAAGGGUGCGUAGGCGGAAUUGUAAGUCAGUGGUGAAAGCCUGCAGCUUAACUGCAGAAUUGCCAUUGAUACUGCAAAUCUUGAGUACAUUUGAUGUGGGCGGAAUGUGUCAUGUAGCGGUGAAAUGCUUAGAUAUGACACAGAACACCGAUUGCGAAGGCAGCUCACAAAACUGUAACUGACGCUGAGGCACGAAAGCGUGGGGAUCGAACAGG